GUCGAGAAUCUUCGGCAAUGGGCGCAAGCCUGACCGAGCGACGCCGCGUGGAGGACGAAGGCCUUCGGGUUGUAAACUCCUGUCGAGGGGGAGGAAGGGGCAACCUUGACCGAUCCCUGGAGGAAGCACGGGCUAAGUUCGUGCCAGCAGCCGCGGUAAGACGAACCGUGCGAACGUUAUUCGGAAUCACUGGGCUUAAAGCGCGUGUAGGCGGGCCGGCACGUCGGUGCCUGAAAGCCCCCGGCUCAACCGGGGAAGCGGGGCCGAUACGACCGGCCUGGAGGGACGUAGGGGGAUCUGGAACUUCCGGUGGAGCGGUGAAAUGCGUUGAGAUCGGAAGGAACGCCCGUGGCGAAAGCGAGGUCCUGGACGUCUGCUGACGCUGAGACGCGAAAGCUAGGGGAGCGAACGGGAUUAGAAACCCCAGUAGUCC
This 433-nucleotide ribosomal RNA is filed under the name uncultured bacterium. RNAcentral's name for it is "bacterial SSU rRNA". It matches the Rfam family "Bacterial small subunit ribosomal RNA", at positions 354 to 796 of the family's 1533-position model. The record is from RNAcentral.